AAUCAUCAACUCUUAUUUCUUUUUCAGAGAUAAGAGCUUGGACUUGGAGGUCUUUGCUGGCUUUUUGUGCCGGCUCCUCUUGAAUGCAUUAGCUUGAACCUUUGCUGUAUCGGCCUUGGUGUGAUAAUUGUCUACGCCGUGGCUGUGAGGCUCAUUUUAAACGGGCUCAGCUUCCAAUGGUCUGCUUGCGGACAACAUCUCAUUGAC
This 207-nucleotide unclassified non-coding RNA is filed under the name Cyanosporus livens. Its description in RNAcentral is "partial internal transcribed spacer 2". Lineage: Eukaryota; Fungi; Basidiomycota; Agaricomycetes; Polyporales; Postiaceae. The record is from RNAcentral.